AUUCGUGUUUCAGUCGCCAAAUACAAAAAAAAAAAAAAGAUCAAGUGUAGUAUCUGUUCUUCUCAGUUUAAUACCUGGGACGGAAACGAUUCGUUUCCUCUAUGUAUUAAUCGGAUUUUUGAACUUGGAGUAUGGUGCUGGAGCUUGCUCCACCCUGCUCACGGGUUGUCCUGGUAUUGCAGUACCUCCAGGUUCGGCUCACGUUUC
This is a non-coding RNA of Ciona savignyi (Pacific transparent sea squirt), 207 nucleotides long. NCBI's taxonomy places the organism in Eukaryota, Metazoa, Chordata, Ascidiacea, Phlebobranchia, Cionidae. The record is from Rfam.